Molecule: transfer RNA, 69 nt
Filed under: Monodelphis domestica (gray short-tailed opossum)
Lineage: Eukaryota; Metazoa; Chordata; Mammalia; Didelphimorphia; Didelphidae
Rfam family: tRNA
About the family: Transfer RNA (tRNA) molecules are approximately 80 nucleotides in length.
Source: Rfam by way of RNAcentral
AGGAAAGUCAUAAAGGUUAUGAGAUUGACUUGAAAUCAGUCUUAGGUGGUUCAAUUCCUCCCUUUCUUG